RNAcentral lists this ribosomal RNA (479 nucleotides) under uncultured bacterium. RNAcentral describes it as "bacterial SSU rRNA". It matches the Rfam family "Bacterial small subunit ribosomal RNA", at positions 355 to 852 of the family's 1533-position model. The record is from RNAcentral.
UGGGGAAUCUUGGACAAUGGGGGCAACCCUGAUCCAGCCAUGCCGCGUGAGUGAUGAAGGCCUUAGGGUCGUAAAGCUCUUCGCCUGUGAAGAUAAUGACGGUAGCAGGUAAAGAAACCCCGGCUAACUCCGUGCCAGCAGCCGCGGUAAUACGGAGGGGGUUAGCGUUGUUCGGAAUUACUGGGCGUAAAGCGCACGUAGGCGGACCAGAAAGUUGGGGGUGAAAUCCCGGGGGCUCAACCCCGGAACUGCCUCCAAAACUAUUGGUCUAGAGUUCGAGAGAGGUGAGUGGAAUUCCAAGUGUAGAGGUGAAAUUCGUAGAUAUUUGGAGGAACACAGUGGCGAAGGCGGCUCACUGGCUCGAUACUGACGCUGAGGUGCGAAAGUGUGGGGAGCAAACAGGAUUAGAUACCCUGGUAGUCCACACCGUAAAACGAUGAAUGCCAGUCGUCGGGUAGCAUGCUAUUCGGUGACACACC